UACGGAGGAUGCGAGCGUUAUCCGGAUUUAUUGGGUUUAAAGGGAGCGUAGACGGCCGUUUAAGUCAGCUGUGAAAUGGUGCGGCUCAACCGUAGCACUGCAGUUGAAACUGGUCGGCUUGAGUGCAGUUGAGGCAGGCGGAAUUCGUGGUGUAGCGGUGAAAUGCUUAGAUAUCACGAAGAACCCCGAUUGCGAAGGCAGCCUGCUAAGCUGCAACUGACGUUGAUGCUCGAAAGUGUGGGUAUCAAACAGG
This 253-nucleotide ribosomal RNA is filed under the name uncultured bacterium. Its description in RNAcentral is "partial 16S ribosomal RNA". It matches the Rfam family "Bacterial small subunit ribosomal RNA", at positions 524 to 776 of the family's 1533-position model. The record is from RNAcentral.